This is a small nucleolar RNA of Meriones unguiculatus (Mongolian gerbil), 119 nucleotides long. The record is from Ensembl. Lineage: Eukaryota; Metazoa; Chordata; Mammalia; Rodentia; Muridae.
AAGUUCUUUAAAAUUGAGACAGUACUUUAGGAGAUUAACGCAGAAGGGUGAAGGAUGCCUCAUAAAUCUCAGAGACAAAACUGAACAGUUCCUGUUGGAUCAUGUCUAUUGUCACAUUC